Non-coding RNA from Vicugna pacos (alpaca), 1069 nucleotides. The record is from RefSeq and is a predicted model, not a curated record. NCBI's taxonomy places the organism in Eukaryota, Metazoa, Chordata, Mammalia, Artiodactyla, Camelidae.
UCAUGACAGCCUGUGAUUCUAAAUAAAGAUUUAAAGAGGAGAGUUCAGCUCUUCGAGUGUUGGUUUGCAUUCCUUAAGCCAGAGGUCAAAAGAAUGCCGCAAGUUUCUGCUGGGAGAGGUAUCCUGCUAACUUCAUCUUCAACAUUUGAAAACCACCGACAGGCUUAUCCAGUAGUUCCUCCCUGCUUCUUCUAUGAUUCAUCUCCUGGUUUUUCCCUAGCCUUGUUCCAAACUGCUGCCUCAGACCCAGGAACUUGUUCUGCUUGGAGAUAACAGGAAGACAGCAUUAUACACCACUGUUGUUUGUUACUAACGAGGAUGCACAACUUAUGCUUUAGAAGGAGGCUGCUGGGAGAAGAGCCUGAAAGCACCGUCUCAGGUGGUGAAAAAAUAACCUACUUUGUAAGGAGCUCUGUGACUUCCUGAACAUUCUCUUUUCUGAGAGGGAGUGAGCCAGACUGGAGGACAGCAUCUCCCAUGGGGCAGGAGAGACGAAUGAAGCAGCAAAUCUGGGGACAUGAUGUGGUCGAGAGUGCCUAGAUGGUGGUGACGUGGCCAAGAGCGGCAGAAGGAGGCGAAGGUGGUGGUGCACGUAGGACAGAGUCUGGGGUCACCUGAGGAGCUGCUGGAACUGAGUGCCCCAUGCACAGUGCCGUAUGAACAGCUCUCAAGCACAAAGAGCUGCUUGGUUUAUGGAUGGCAGUUCCAGGUGAAUGGAUAACAUACCAUCUGGAAGUCCACUACUCUGAAUGACGAAGGUUGCCUGUACUUUUCCACCAUGUGAUUAUAUGACCAGACUUACAGAUACAAGCACUGGAAACAGAUGAUUCCUCAGCCAACCGUGGUGGGGAGUAACUGCAGUGACGCGGCUCUCGGGCACGGCUUCCUGAGCAGCAGCCUCCCUGAAGGUACAGGCGUGUCUCCUACGAGGUACCUGGGAGGAAAAAUACCACAUCUGCAUAUGAUGGAGCAAUUGAUGGCAGAUCAGUGCCCCCAGGGAAAGCUAGACAAGCACACAAGCCAUAUGUAAAGGCAUCCAAGAGCUGUAACCGCAAGAAGGACAAAGUGG